CCGGAUUGCUAUCGGGAUGGGACUAAGCCAUCAAGUCUAAAUGGUAUUUCAUGCUUAUACCAUUGGCGAAUCGCUCAGUAACACGUAGUUAAUCUCCCCUAUGGAGAGGCAUACCCUCGGGAAAGUACCACAGGGAAUUACAUGUGGUACCUCGAAACUGAGGCUAAUUCCUCAUAGGCCACGCUGACUGGAAUGUUGCGUGACCCAAAGGACUUCUGAAGCUAUGAGAUGAAGCUUGCCAUAGGAUGAGACUGCGGUGGAUUAUGGUUGUUGGUGGGGUAACGGCCCACCAAGCCUUUGAUCCGUACGGGCCGUGAGAGCGGGAGCCCGGAGAUGGGAACUGAGAUACUGUCCCAAGCCCUACCGGGGCGCAGCAGGCGCGAAACCUCCGCAAUGCACGCAAGGUGUGACGGGGCCAUCCCGAGUGCCUACGAGCUUUUCAUCAGUGUAAGUAGCUGAUGGAAUAAGG
RNAcentral lists this ribosomal RNA (469 nucleotides) under uncultured archaeon. Its description in RNAcentral is "SSU rRNA". It matches the Rfam family "Archaeal small subunit ribosomal RNA", at positions 25 to 440 of the family's 1478-position model. The record is from RNAcentral.